RNAcentral lists this ribosomal RNA (265 nucleotides) under uncultured prokaryote. RNAcentral's name for it is "partial 16S ribosomal RNA". It matches the Rfam family "Bacterial small subunit ribosomal RNA", at positions 524 to 788 of the family's 1533-position model. The record is from RNAcentral.
UACGGAGGAUCCAAGCGUUAUCCGGAUUUAUUGGGUUUAAAGGGUGCGUAGGCGGAAGAUUAAGUCGGUGGUGAAAUUUUGCAGCUCAACUGUAAAAGUGCCAUUGAUACUGGUUUUCUUGAGUAUGGAUGAAGUAGGCGGAAUUUGUGGUGUAGCGGUGAAAUGCAUAGAUAUCACGAGGAACUCCGAUUGCGCAGGCAGCUUACUAAACCAUAACUGACGCUCAGGCACGAAGGCGUGGGGAUCAAACAGGAUUAGAUACCCU